GACGAACGCUGGCGGCGUGCCUAAUACAUGCAAGUAGAACGCUGAAGCUUGGUGCUUGCACCGAGCGGAUGAGUUGCGAACGGGUGAGUAACGCGUAGGUAACCUGCCUGGUAGCGGGGGAUAACUAUUGGAAACGAUAGCUAAUACCGCAUAAGAGUAGAUGUUGCAUGACAUUUGCUUAAAAGGUGCAAUUGCAUCACUACCAGAUGGACCUGCGUUGUAUUAGCUAGUUGGUGAGGUAACGGCUCACCAAGGCAACGAUACAUAGCCGACCUGAGAGGGUGAUCGGCCACACUGGGACUGAGACACGGCCCAGACUCCUACGGGAGGCAGCAGUAGGGAAUCUUCGGCAAUGGACGGAAGUCUGACCGAGCAACGCCGCGUGAGUGAAGAAGGGUUUCGGAUCGGAAAGCUCUGUUGUAAGAGAAGAACGAGUGUGAGAGUGGAAAGUUCACACUGUGACGGUAUCUUACCAGAAAGGGACGGCUAACUACGUG
RNAcentral lists this ribosomal RNA (497 nucleotides) under uncultured bacterium. RNAcentral describes it as "partial 16S ribosomal RNA". It matches the Rfam family "Bacterial small subunit ribosomal RNA", at positions 28 to 507 of the family's 1533-position model. The record is from RNAcentral.